RNAcentral lists this ribosomal RNA (454 nucleotides) under uncultured Rikenella sp. RNAcentral describes it as "bacterial SSU rRNA". It matches the Rfam family "Bacterial small subunit ribosomal RNA", at positions 341 to 792 of the family's 1533-position model. The record is from RNAcentral. Lineage: Bacteria; Pseudomonadati; Bacteroidota; Bacteroidia; Bacteroidales; Rikenellaceae.
ACGGAAGGCAGCAGUGAGGAAUAUUGGUCAAUGGACGGAAGUCUGAACCAGCCAUGCCGCGUGCAGGAAUAAGGCCCUAUGGGUCGUAAACUGCUUUUGUGGUGGAGCAAUAAGGCGUACGUGUACGUCGAUGAGAGUACAUCACGAAUAAGCAUCGGCUAACUCCGUGCCAGCAGCCGCGGUAAUACGGAGGAUGCGAGCGUUAUCCGGAUUUAUUGGGUUUAAAGGGUGCGUAGGCUGUUCUUCAAGUCAGAGGUGAAAUACCGGGGCUCAACCCUGGAACUGCCUUUGAUACUGGAGGGCUUGAAUACUGUUGCCGUGGGAGGAAUGAGUAGUGUAGCGGUGAAAUGCAUAGAUAUUACUCAGAACACCGAUUGCGAAGGCAUCUCACGAAGCAGCGAUUGACGCUGAGGCACGAAAGCGUGGGGAUCAAACAGGAUUAGAUACCCUGGUA